Long non-coding RNA from Bos taurus (domestic cattle), 693 nucleotides. The record is from Ensembl. Lineage: Eukaryota; Metazoa; Chordata; Mammalia; Artiodactyla; Bovidae.
GUGAGGUGAAGGGCAGCUCGAGCAGGGCCUGCUGACGGUGCAGAGAAUGAUCGAGAAGCCGCCCUCCUGAGCGCGGAGGCCUGGAGCUUCCUUCUGCGUGGCAGGAGGGCGCUGGCCUGUGGUCCCUCUCAGUGGGGGCGGGAGGAACUGAUCUCUCAGCAUGAAAUGGUCGCCUGGCCUCUGGGAAGGCUCCCAGCAGUCGACGCCCAGGCCAGGCCUGGCCGGCUGCUCCUCCAGCUGCUGCUCCCAGCCGGAGCCAUUUUCCGACCCCAAAGACUUGUCAGCAGGACUAGAAAUGCUUGGACCCUCAAAUGUAACCCCGAAUAUCAGCAGCAGACCCCCCCACCCCUGGGGGAAAAGUCUCCAAUCAGAGAUCCUCUGAGGCGAGCCAAGAGCGGUUUUGGAGGGAGCAGCGCAUAUUUUGAGAAGUGAGAUUGAUUCUUGUCUCUGAUCCUCCUUAGCCUCAACUGUGUACUUCUGAGACAGACUGGGACCUGCGAAGAAAAGGCCAAAACCCAACUGCCACUCUUGAGGUGCAGGAGCAAAAGCAGGGGACUGAGCUUGCACCACAGCACCAUCAAGCGGAUGAGCAGACCACCUAAGCCAGCCCUGAAGCCCGAACCACCGAUGGGCCCCUAUGCUCACCCCAUUUAAGAGACUGGCCCAAAUCAACCCCCCACCCCCUGCCACCCC